CCUACGGGAGGCUGCAGUGAGGAAUAUUGGUCAAUGGACGAGAGUCUGAACCAGCCAAGUAGCGUGAAGGAUGACUGCCCUAUGGGUUGUAAACUUCUUUUAUAUGGGAAUAAAACGUUCCACGUGUGGGAUUUUGUAUGUACCAUAUGAAUAAGGAUCGGCUAACUCCGUGCCAGCAGCCGCGGUAAUACGGAGGAUCCGAGCGUUAUCCGGAUUUAUUGGGUGUAAAGGGAGCGUAGGUGGAUUGUUAAGUCAGUUGUGAAAGUUUGCGGCUCAACCGUAAAAUUGCCGUUGAAACUGGCAGUCUUGAGUACAGUAGAGGUGGGCGGAAUUCGUGGUGUAGCGGUGAAAUGCUUAGAUAUCACGAAGAACUCCGAUUGCGAAGGCAGUUCACUGGACUGCAACUGACACUGAGGCUCGAAAGUGUGGGUAUCAAACAGGAUUAGAUACCCGAGUAGUC
Molecule: ribosomal RNA, 460 nt
Filed under: uncultured bacterium
Lineage: Bacteria
Description: partial 16S ribosomal RNA
Rfam family: Bacterial small subunit ribosomal RNA
Source: RNAcentral